AUGUAUGCUCGUUUGCUAUCAAAUGGAAAAGGAAAACCUAUGGUAUAUGAAUCUGGAUAUUGUCCACAAAGGAAAACCUUAGGUUGUCCAAGUUUCUCAGGUCUCCUAUUUGGCAUUCAUCAUUAUGAUCAAAAUCUAGAUAUUGCUAUCGAAUAAAAGAAACAGCUUAUCAUCUCCACUGUUCUUAUGACUCUGGGAGUUGCAAUUGUUAGUUGGAUUGCCCUUCCAUCAUCCUUCACAAUCUUCAAUUUUGGCUCUCAGAAAGUUGUGAAGAAUUGGCAGCUGUUCUUGUGUGUGGGUGUUGGUCUUUGGGCUGGACUUAUUAUUGGGUUUGUAACUGAGUAUUACACUAGCAAUGCAUACAGCCCUGUGCAAGAUGUGGCUGAUUCCUACAGGACUGGAACUGCCACAAAUGUCAUCUUUGGCCUUGCUUUGGGAUACAAAUCUGUCAUCAUUCCUAUUUUUGCUAUUGCAGUUAGUAUUUUUGUUAGUUUCAGUUUUGCUGCCAUGUAUGGCAUUGCAGUGGCAGCCCCAGGAAUGCUGAGUACCAUUGCUACUGGGCUUGCUAUUGAUGCUUAUGGUCCCAUCAGUGACAAUGCGGGAGGAAUUGCUGAGAUGGCUGGCAUGAGCCACAGAAUCCGAGAGAGAACUGAUGCACUUGAUGCCGCAGGCAACACCACUGCUGCCAUUGGGAAGGGAUUUGCAAUUGGAUCUGCGGCACUCGUGUCUUUGGCACUGUUUGGUGCCUUUGUAAGUCGUGCAUCGAUCUCAACUGUUGAUGUCUUGACUCCAAAGGUCUUCAUUGGUUUGCUUGUUGGUGCAAUGCUUCCUUACUGGUUCUCAGCCAUGACCAUGAAGAGUGUGGGACGUGCAGCUCUUAAGAUGGUUGAGGAGGUUCGCAGACAGUUCAACACCAUUCCAGGUCUGAUGGAGGGCCUUGCCAAGCCUGAUUAUGCCACUUGUGUCAAGAUCUCUACUGAUGCAUCCAUUAAGGAGAUGAUUCCACCUGGUGCCCUUGUCAUGCUCACACCCCUUAUCGUUGGGACCUUCUUUGGCGUGGAGACUCUAUCUGGAGUACUAGCUGGCUCCCUUGUUUCUGGUGUCCAGAUAGCAAUCUCUGCUUCUAACACUGGCGGUGCAUGGGAUAAUGCCAAGAAGUACAUUGAGGCUGGUGCUUCCGAGCAUGCAAGGACCCUUGGCCCAAAGGGGUCUGAUCCACACAAGGCAGCUGUGAUUGGUGACACCAUUGGAGACCCACUGAAGGACACCUCAGGCCCAUCGCUCAACAUCCUUAUCAAGCUCAUGGCAGUGGAGUCUCUCGUCUUUGCUCCCUUUUUUGCCACUCAUGGUGGGUUGCUUUUCAAGAUCUUCUGAGGAAUGGGAUGAUGAAAAAUACAUGGGCAAAGGGGUGAUUAGCCCUUUUUUCCCCAGUAUUUAUUCGGCACAUCUCUCACCAAUUCAUCUAAUCUCCAUAUCCAUCCAUCCCCACAUUGUGAGUUUUUCAAGUUAGUUUCUAUGUUUAGGGAAAUAUUAUUUUUGAAGGGCUGAUGAUGAUGAUGAUGAUAAUCAUGAUUGGUAAGGGAGGACAGGCAAAAUGGUUUUAACUGUCACAGAAGAGUCAGGAUGGUAGUGUGUUACUUUUCUUUAUACCUCUUUUUAGAACAGCUCUGUUCCUAAUUUCCUUGUAACCUUAUCCUUUUUUCCAUUAAAAGCAAGGAGAACGUGUUCAUCAAUUUUGGGUAUUUUUGCUGUCCAUCAGUGGAGCUUUGUAGUUUUUGUUUGGGUUAAAUGCGUGCAGGGCCUAGGUAGAUGGAAAAUGAUGCCGGUCUUUUUUAACUCUUGGAUUUUAGCUUUAUCAUCUCCAAAUUUUUAAAAAAUAGAUAUCUAAGGUAUGUUUGUUAAA
Molecule: RNA transcript, 1903 nt
Organism: Vitis vinifera (wine grape)
Lineage: Eukaryota; Viridiplantae; Streptophyta; Magnoliopsida; Vitales; Vitaceae
Gene name: pyrophosphate-energized vacuolar membrane proton pump
Exons: 6
Source: RefSeq, a predicted model, not a curated record